RNAcentral lists this long non-coding RNA (408 nucleotides) under Sus scrofa (pig). Its description in RNAcentral is "lncRNA (ENSSSCG00005022993.1)". The record is from RNAcentral. Lineage: Eukaryota; Metazoa; Chordata; Mammalia; Artiodactyla; Suidae.
GCUUUUUAACAAGCCUUAGAAAUGCUAUACCCCAGAAGCCCCAUAGUGCCUGGCACAUAGAGAACUUUUCUCUUAGGGCGGACCCAUUGGCAUUCAAAUUGUUAGGCACGAUGAAGAGUCUCCAUUACACAUCUCUCUCCAAAUGUAGCUGCUUACCUAGAUAGUUUUGCUUGUUUUUGUCUUACAGAUCCCCUAUGCUGCAAGCUUGAUCAGGAAAGAAAAGCUUGGUGCCCAUCUCAGCAAAAGCUAAAAGGUGCCCAGAACCACUUACUCUCGUUUUCUUGUAAGACAGAGCCUAAGCACUUCUGACCCGCACAGAGACUGCAAAUUGAAAGGGCUGGGGAAUCGAAUACAAAAAUCAGGUUCGGGAGAACCCAAGGACAAGUGACCUCAAGGCAGCAUGGACAA